GGCCAAGUUUUUAAGGGCGCACGGUGGAUGCCUUGGCACCAGGAACCGAUGAAGGACGUGGGAGGCCACGAUAGUCCCCGGGGAGCCGUCAACCAGGCUUUGAUCCGGGGGUUUCCGAAUGGGGAAACCCGGCAGUCGUCAUGGGCUGUCACCCAUACCUGAACACAUAGGGUAUGUGGAGGGAACGCGGGGAAGUGAAACAUCUCAGUACCCGCAGGAAGAGAAAACAACCGUGAUUCCGGGAGUAGUGGCGAGCGAAACCGGAUGAGGCCAAACCGUAUGCGUGUGAUACCCGGCAGGGGUUGCGCAUGCGGGGUUGUGGGAUUGCACUUCAACAGUCUGCCGGCUGUUGGGCAAGUCAGAAACCGUUGGUGUAGGCGAAGGACAUGCGAAAGGUCCGGCGUAGAGGGUAAGACCCCCGUAGCUGAAACAUCAACGGCUUGCUUGUGCAACACCCAAGUAGCACGGGGCCCGAGAAAUCCCGUGUGAAUCUGGCGGGACCACCCGCUAAGCCUAAAUAUUCCCUGGUGACCGAUAGCGGAUAGUACCGUGAGGGAAUGGUGAAAAGUACCGCGGGAGCGGAGUGAAAUAGUACCUGAAACCGUGUGCCUACAAGCCGUGGGAGCGUCGCUGUAUGUGCUUGCACAUGCAGUCGUGACUGCGUGCCUUUUGAAGAAUGAGCCUGCGAGUUAGCGGUGUGUAGCGAGGUUAACCCGUGUGGGGAAGCCGUAGCGAAAGCGAGUCCGAAUAGGGCGAUUGAGUUGCACGCUCUAGACCCGAAGCGGAGUGAUCUAGCCAUGGGCAGGUUGAAGCGGAGGUAAGACUUCGUGGAGGACCGAACCCACCAGGGUUGAAAACCUGGGGGAUGACCUGUGGUUAGGGGUGAAAGGCCAAUCAAACUCCGUGAUAGCUGGUUCUCCCCGAAAUGCAUUUAGGUGCAGCGUCGUGUGUUUCUUGCCGGAGGUAGAGCACUGGAUAGGCGAUGGGCCCUACCGGGUUACUGACCUUAGCCAAACUCCGAAUGCCGGUAAGUGAGAGCGCGGCAGUGAGACUGUGGGGGAUAAGCUCCAUGGUCGAGAGGGAAACAGCCCAGAGCAUCGACUAAGGCCCCUAAGCGUACGCUAAGUGGGAAAGGAUGUGGAGUCGCAGAGACAACCAGGAGGUUGGCUUAGAAGCAGCCACCCUUGAAAGAGUGCGUAAUAGCUCACUGGUCAAGUGAUUCCGCGCCGACAAUGUAGCGGGGCUCAAGCGUACCGCCGAAGUCGUGUCAUUCCAGCAAUAGGGCCAACGCCUGCUGGGAUGGGUAGGGGAGCGUCGUGUGCCGGGUGAAGCAGCCGCGGAAGCGAGUUGUGGACGGUUCACGAGUGAGAAUGCAGGCAUGAGUAGCGAUACACACGUGAGAAACGUGUGCGCCGAUUGACUAAGGGUUCCUGGGUCAAGCUGAUCUGCCCAGGGUAAGUCGGGACCUAAGGCGAGGCCGACAGGCGUAGUCGAUGGACAACCGGUUGAUAUUCCGGUACCCGCUUUGAAACGCCCAGUAUCGAAUCCAUUGAUGCUAAGGCCGUGAAGCCGUCCUGGAGCCUUCGGGCAAAGGGAAGUGGUGGAGCCGCCGGUCCAAGGUGGUAGUAGGUAAGCGAUGGGGUGACGCAGGAAGGUAGUCCAGCCCGGGCGGUGGUAGUCCCGGGGUAAGGGUGUAGGCCGUGUGAUAGGCAAAUCCGUCACACAUUAAGGCUGAGACCUGAUGCCGAGCCGAUUGUGGUGAAGUGGAUGAUCCUAUGCUGUCGAGAAAAGCCUCUAGCGAGUUUCAUGGCGGCCCGUACCCUAAACCGACUCAGGUGGUCAGGUAGAGAAUACCGAGGCGUUCGGGUGAACUAUGGUUAAGGAACUCGGCAAAAUGCCCCCGUAACUUCGGGAGAAGGGGGGCCAUCACUGGUGAUCCGUUUUACACGGUGAGCUGGGGGUGGCCGCAGAGACCAGCGAGAAGCGACUGUUUACUAAAAACACAGGUCCGUGCGAAGCCGUAAGGCGAUGUAUACGGACUGACGCCUGCCCGGUGCUGGAACGUUAAGGGGACCGGUUAGUGCGCUUUCGGGCGUGCGAAGCUGAGAACUUAAGCGCCAGUAAACGGCGGUGGUAACUAUAACCAUCCUAAGGUAGCGAAAUUCCUUGUCGGGUAAGUUCCGACCUGCACGAAUGGCGUAACGACUUCUCGACUGUCUCAACCAUAGGCCCGGUGAAAUUGCACUACGAGUAAAGAUGCUCGUUUCGCGCAGAAGGACGGAAAGACCCCGGGACCUUUACUACAGUUUGAUAUUGGUGUUCGGUUCGGCUUGUGUAGGAUAGGUGGGAGACUGUGAAGCAUGCACGCCAGUGUGUGUGGAGUCAAUCUUGAAAUACCACUCUGGUCGUGCUGGAUGUCUAACCUCGGUCCGUGAUCCGGAUCAGGGACAGUGUCUGAUGGGUAGUUUAACUGGGGCGGUUGCCUCCUAAAGAGUAACGGAGGCGCCCAAAGGUUCCCUCAGCCUGGUUGGCAAUCAGGUGUUGAGUGUAAGUGCACAAGGGAGCUUGACUGUGAGACCGACGGGUCGAGCAGGGACGAAAGUCGGGACUAGUGAUCCGGCAGUGGCUUGUGGAAGCGCUGUCGCUCAACGGAUAAAAGGUACCCCGGGGAUAACAGGCUGAUCUUCCCCAAGAGUCCAUAUCGACGGGAUGGUUUGGCACCUCGAUGUCGGCUCGUCGCAUCCUGGGGCUGGAGUCGGUCCCAAGGGUUGGGCUGUUCGCCCAUUAAAGCGGUACGCGAGCUGGGUUUAGAACGUCGUGAGACAGUUCGGUCCCUAUCCUCUGCGCGCGUAGGAAUAUUGAGAAGGGCUGUCCCUAGUACGAGAGGACCGGGACGGACGAACCUCUGGUGUGCCAGUUGUCCUGCCAAGGGCAUGGCUGGUUGGCUACGUUCGGAAAGGAUAACCGCUGAAAGCAUCUAAGCGGGAAGCCUGCUUCGAGAUGAGUGUUCCCACCCCCUUUGAGGGGUUAAGGCUCCCAGUAGACGACUGGGUUGAUAGGCCAGAUGUGGAAGCCCGGUAACGGGUGGAGCUGACUGGUACUAAUAGGCCGAGGGCUUGUCCUC
Molecule: ribosomal RNA, 3124 nt
Filed under: Streptomyces sp. ISL-98
Lineage: Bacteria; Bacillati; Actinomycetota; Actinomycetes; Kitasatosporales; Streptomycetaceae
Description: Bacterial large subunit ribosomal RNA
Rfam family: Bacterial large subunit ribosomal RNA
Source: Rfam by way of RNAcentral